Non-coding RNA from Cajanus cajan (pigeon pea), 166 nucleotides. The record is from Rfam. Lineage: Eukaryota; Viridiplantae; Streptophyta; Magnoliopsida; Fabales; Fabaceae.
UCUAAUGUGACCUUGUUGCCAUCACCCACAUAGAUAAAUCUUUCAUUAUCACUUGGCAGUCCCGCAACGAGCGCAUCCCUCGUGUUUAGUUGCCAACGUUGAGUUUGGAACCCUGAGCAGACUGUCGGUGAUAAGCCGGAGGAAGGUGAGGAUGACGUCAAGUCAU